CUUUUAUAUCGUUCCAGCAGGCGGCGCUGGAGUUCCAGAAAUACUCUUCAGUUCAACUCAUGAAGCACUAGGAAAUAUGAUGUAGCUGGUUACAGAGGAGGGCAUUAAUAAAAGAGUCUAGUGAACUGUUGUUUGAGUCAAGCACUUAGAGCCACUCAGUGUUUUGUGUUCAUUCAGGCAGACAGGAGGACAACAUGCCAACAUUAUUCCUUUUCUCUUGGCUUAUUGGUGUUUGUCUGGGUGUUGAAGUCUACCAAACUCCUCCAGAACUUCUCAGAAGACCUGGAGACAAAGUCGAGCUGGUCUGCAGCCAUGAAAGGACCGACUACACACUCAUGCAGUGGUACCAGAAAUCCGCUGGAGACAGAGCUCUGAAACGCAUUGGACAUGUGUAUUACAGCAACAUAGAGCAUGAGAAGUCUUUCGAAGAGCAUUUUAACAUCACUGGAGAUAUGAGUGGAGACAGAGCAAAGAACGGCUCUCUGGUUAUAUACAACCUGAAGGCCCCUGAGCACAGUGCGGUGUACUACUGUGCAGCUAGCUAUGCACACUGACUGAACAUCCCCUCUCCCUUAGACAAAAACUCUCAACCAACUUUUAUCAACAUGUAUGGUUUUGAAUAAGAACCCCUCCCAGCCAGCUGCUCUUGAUUCGCUGCCAUCGUCUGUCAGACGUUAUACAGUGAUGCCGUUUCAUCUUCACUUCCUUUUCCGUUUCAGUAGACGCCUCAUUUGGAUCUCCAUCACUCACAGGACCCAGGUUGAUAUUAUUGUCAGCGACUUACACCUCUAAAACUCUAUGAUACAUACUUCGGAAAAGUAAUCUAAAAAGGUGUUUGAGUAACGUAUUCAUUUUGAGCAAG
This is a non-coding RNA of Sander lucioperca (pikeperch), 862 nucleotides long. Lineage: Eukaryota; Metazoa; Chordata; Actinopteri; Perciformes; Percidae. The record is from the annotation of a RefSeq genome assembly.